AGAUUUACGGUAUGAUGACUUUAUUUUAUACAUCCGCAUAGGGCGGAGGGUUCGAAUCUGUAGAACCGUAGUUCUUUGAAUUCGGUUCGUCUAUGUAAGCCUGCGGUGCCGCCGUUGGGGGGUAUCCCGUUGUGUGGUGGUAGUUUGGAUUCUCAAAUACAACAAUCUGCUGAAAUUCCUCUUCCGGGUACUUUGAUAUGAUGUACCACGAGUGGAUCAAUCCCGGGAUAUACCCCAAACAGCAAAGUGCGAGAUUGAUGAACGAGUCGGCAGAGCAAAUUCCCGUCUUGACCCAAACGGGGAAGGGCGGGAAAAGCACUGCAAUCAUCACAAGAAUUAAGUCACAGCAGCAGAGGCACAUGUUGCGAUGAUAGAGGCCAUCCGUACAUUUUGACGGUGGGGUAUUCCCUUCCAUUAUCUUCACACCAUAUAAACAAUUCUUUACCGAUUUGAAUACAAUGACUUUAGGAAGGCAUUAGGGCUUGUAUUUCUGUUGGAUACAGAACGUGAGUGAAGUAUAUAUUACUAACGAUUUAAUAGCACGUACUGCGUGAUCCAGUACAAUAGCGUACUGGAUAGGAAGAGGGUAUACUAAUACCUGCUUCCAUGUAGUGACGAAGGUAACUAGUCCUACGGAGAGAGUUUGAUUCGAAAGCAGUCGGCUCUCUUAGCAUAAGUCCAUACAAGAUGAUCGCUCCAUCGCUCUAUGCGAUUGACCGCAUAUGCUAACAACAUAUGUGUGGGGUCAUAGUAAUAUUGAGUAUACUUCCCCAGGAAGGCCGGAUUGGCCUGCGGUUACGAAAAGGGUAACCCGAAUCUCCCUUGGUGAGUUUUUGGUCGGAGGCAUCCGAUAUUAGAUUCAGAUAGCUGCAAGCUAUUGGUCAAUCCAUUAGUGCAGCAAUAGCUCGUAAUGUGCAUGAAUCUUGUCGCCAGAAUCAGAUCCGAAAUUGAUUCCGAGAUUCCGAGGCGUAUGCGAAUGACCUGAUUGGUUCCUCAAGGGUUCUGACUUCGGCGUUAGCGGCAUAAGGGAAAAAUGGCUACAUGCAGACGGUAGACGUAUAAGAUUGGUUUAGCAAUGCGACAGGGGGAUAGAAAGUUGAUAAAAUACUCACCAGAAAUCAUCACCAAAUAUAUUUCUCACCAUGGACAAUUCUAAUGCAAACGCUGACACAGACGCUGACAAUUUCUCUUUUCAGUGAGAUUUUCGAUGAUGAUUUUAGCCCAAGGCUUAUUAGGUCCGAAUUAAGUCAAGUAGAAGUGAACCACGUGGUCUCUGAAUGCGAUGUUGUUCAAAUAAUCUUGGCAAAUAAUCUUGUUCCAUUGGCCUAAUUAGUGACGCGUAUGAAUGGAUUAACGAGAUUCCCACUGUCCCUAUCUACUAUCUAGCGAAAUCACAGCGAAGGGAACGGGCUUCGCAAAAUCAGCGGGGAAAGAAGACCCUGUUGAGCUUGACUCUAGUUUGACAUUGUGAAAAGACAUAGAGGGUGUAGAAUAAGUGGGAGCUUCGGCGCCGUUGAAGUACCACAACCUUUAUCGUUUUUUAACUUAUUCAAUUAAGCGAAGCUGGACUUCAUUGUCCACGUUCUAGCAUUAAGGUCUCAUUGUAGGCUGAUCCGUGUUGAAGACAUUGUCAGGUGGGGAGUUUGGCUGGGGCGGCACAUCUGUUAAACGAUAACGCGGGUGUCCUAAGGGGGGCUCAGGGAGAACAGAAAUCUCCAGUAGAACAAAAGGGUAAAAGCCCCCUUGAUUUUGAUUUUCAGUGUGAAUACAAACCAUGAAAGUGUGGUCUAUCGAUCAUUAAGUCCCUCAGAAUUUGAGGCUAGAGGUGCCAGAAAAGUUACCACAGGGAUAACUGGCUUGUGGCAGUCAAGCGUUCAUAGCGACAUUGCUUUUUGAUUCUUCGAUCUCGGCUCUUCCAGAAUUCGGUAAGCGUUGGAUUGUUCACCCACUAAUAGGGAACGUGAGCUGGGUUUAGACCGUCGUGAGACAGGUUAAUUUUACCCUACUGAUGAAUGUCAUCGCAAUAGUAAUUGAACCUAGUACGAGAGGAACCGUUCAUUCGGAUAAUUGGUUUUUGCGGCUGUCUGAUCAGGCAUUGCCGUGAAGCUACCAUCCGCUGGAUUAUGGCUGAACGCCUUCAAGUCAGAAUCCAUGCUAGAAAGCGAUGAUUUCUGCCCUCGCGCAUUUUAGAUGGAUAAGAAUAAGGCACUUUGUGUCGCUGAACCAUAACAGGCUGGCAAUGGUGCUCUCAGCGGAAAGGCUUUGGGUGCUUGCCGGUGGAUUGCGAUUUAA
RNAcentral lists this ribosomal RNA (2292 nucleotides) under Citeromyces hawaiiensis. RNAcentral describes it as "eukaryotic LSU rRNA". The stretch from base 1088 to 2292 matches the Rfam family "Eukaryotic large subunit ribosomal RNA", at positions 1889 to 3283 of the family's 3401-position model. The record is from RNAcentral. Lineage: Eukaryota; Fungi; Ascomycota; Pichiomycetes; Pichiales; Pichiaceae.